GCCUGGGAGUCCUCAGGCCUGAGGCCAAGGCCAUGCUGGUCCAGCGCUGUCUGUUGCAGUUGUCGCAAGGCAUGCUUUGCUUGCCCUCCUUCCCAGAUGACCCGGCUUCGGGCAUGCGCAGGGGCCCUGUCUCUCCUGAAGCCAGGUGCUUGUGGAGCGCGUAGCUGCCGUGUUUGCUUGUUUGCGUCACAUUGAGGAAAGGUGGCUUUAAUAGCAGUGGGAGAGUUCACCACACACAUGGGACUUCUCCAAGAGCCAUACUGAAUACGGGGUCCCAAGCUGCAGCCACCACCUCUGCUGACGCUCCUGCUGGCACAGCCUCUCUCGGGAGGGGAAGAGUGUGUUCAGUUCCAACUAAUAUCAUUAAAUAAACAAGUCCUGGAUUCAGCCAUCAGGCCAUCAGGCAGAGGAUUGCGAUUCCGUGAAUGCAGGUGAUAACAGGGCCUGUAUACUGGUGUUGGUAAGGCUGAAGUCUGGCUCCUGGCAGCCCCGCCAAGUCCAGGUUUGGCUGCUGUCCUCAAGCAGGCCAAUCCAGAGAGGCAAAACUAAGCGAAAAGGGAAGAAAGUAGACUUAUCCAAUGAGGCCCUGAUGGGAAGAGGAGCAAAGACAUCGCGUGGUGAAGAUUUGAGGUCCAGGUUUAAAUAGAGGCGGGCAAGAGUUAAUUCACAGCCAAGCCAGCCUGUCCUGUAAGGUGGUCUCCUGAGGACCGUAUGGAAUCUCUCUGGAGACCUAAGUUCCCUCUCUGGCUGGUCCUGGCCUUCAGCUUUUUCCUUUUCUCAGUAUGAGGUACCUGAGUAAAUCUCAACUCCCUGGGGAGCCUCUUUAAAGAGCCUAUUAGCCAAAAGGAAGCAGGUGUACAGGUGAGU
Molecule: long non-coding RNA, 867 nt
Organism: Microtus oregoni (creeping vole)
Lineage: Eukaryota; Metazoa; Chordata; Mammalia; Rodentia; Cricetidae
Exons: 3
Source: RefSeq, a predicted model, not a curated record